This 196-nucleotide ribosomal RNA is filed under the name uncultured prokaryote. RNAcentral's name for it is "partial 16S ribosomal RNA". It matches the Rfam family "Bacterial small subunit ribosomal RNA", at positions 524 to 719 of the family's 1533-position model. The record is from RNAcentral.
UACAGAGGGUGCAAGCGUUAAUCGGAAUUACUGGGCGUAAAGGGCGCGUAGGCGGUUAUAUAAGUUAGGUGUGAAAUCCCCGGGCUUAACCUGGGAAUGGCAUUUAAUACUGUAUGACUAGAGUAGAGUAGAGGGAAGUGGAAUUUCCGGUGUAGCGGUGAAAUGCGUAGAUAUCAAGAGGAACACCUGAGGUGAA